AGCAUAUCAAUAAGCGGAGGAAAAGAAACCAACAGGGAUUGCCUUAGUAGCGGCGAGUGAAGCGGCAAGAGCUCAAAUUUGAAAUCUGGUACUUUCAGUGCCCGAGUUGUAAUUUGAAGAUCACAAUCUUGAAAUUGGUCCUUGUCUAUGUUCCUUGGAACAGGACGUCACAGAGGGUGAGAAUCCCGUGCGAUGAGGAUACCUUUUUCAUUUAAGAUGUGUUCGACGAGUCGAGUUGUUUGGGAAUGCAGCUCAAAGUGGGUGGUAAAUUCCAUCUAAAGCUAAAUAUUGGCGAGAGACCGAUAGCGAACAAGUACAGUGAUGGAAAGAUGAAAAGAACUUUGAAAAGAGAGUGAAAAAGUACGUGAAAUUGUUGAAAGGGAAGGGUAUUUAAUCAGACUUGGUAUUUAGUUAUCUCUUCUCCUUGUGGGAGGGGCUCUAACUUUUUACUGGGCCAGCAUCAGUUUUGGUGGUAAGAUAAUCGCAGUUGAAUGUGGCUCUUCGGAGUGUUAUAGCUUCUGUUGAUAUUACCUACUGGGACUGAGGUCUGCGGCUUUUGCCUAGGAUGCUGGCGUAAUGAUUAAACACCGCCCGUCUUGAAACAUGGACCAAGGAGUCUAACGUCUAUGCGAGUGUUUGGGUGUAAAACCCGUACGCGUAAUGAAAGUGAACGUAGAUCAGGGCCCGUAUGGGUGCAUGAUCGACCGAUCCUGAUGUUUUCAGAUGGAUUUGAGUAAGAGCAUAGCUGUUGGGACCCGAAAGAUGGUGAACUAUGCCUGAAUAGGGUGAAGCCAGAGGAAACUCUGGUGGAGGCUCGUAGCGGUUCUGACGUGCAAAUCGAUCGUCGAAUUUGGGUAUAGGGGCGAAAGACUAAUCGAACCAUCUAGUAGCUGGUUCCUGCCAA
Molecule: ribosomal RNA, 904 nt
Filed under: Ambrosiozyma oregonensis (nom. inval.)
Lineage: Eukaryota; Fungi; Ascomycota; Pichiomycetes; Pichiales; Pichiaceae
Description: LSU rRNA
Rfam family: Eukaryotic large subunit ribosomal RNA
Source: RNAcentral